Long non-coding RNA from Monodelphis domestica (gray short-tailed opossum), 1874 nucleotides. NCBI's taxonomy places the organism in Eukaryota, Metazoa, Chordata, Mammalia, Didelphimorphia, Didelphidae. The record is from Ensembl.
GAGUUAACCAUUUUCGGGGGACUAUUUACUCCUGAUCCUAAGUGACAGCUCUGGGAGGGAGAAUCACGUGGCUCUGAAAUCCCCGCUGGGGGCCCAGGAGCAUGCCCAGCUGCCUCAGCCUGGGAAAGAUGCUGGAGCCUGCAGCAGCCACAACAGCAUCCUCUCCCCGCGCCAGGGCCCCGCCGGGAUCCCGAGAUGACUGAUUGGGCAGCCCUCUGAGGCUAAGCUCUGCUCGUCGGGGGAGGGGGGGACCCUAAGGGCGGCGGGUGGGGGUGGGGAGGACCCCGGCUGGAGCUGGAGCGAGCUUGGGGGAGGGGAGACUGGGAUGCUUGGAGAGCUCGAGAGAUUCAUUCAGCGCGGGCUUCCACCUCAGAAACCGGUUCUGGACCGGUAAACAGCUCAAAGCUUGUGAGAUCAAAGGUCCUAACUAGGCUGAGAAAGAAGAACAAAACAGAAUCUCAAGGAAUAACUUUCGAAGGGGGCCUCAACUGUUUCUCAACCCUAGUCCUGGCCUGGCCUCAGCCUCUGACAUCGGAGAGCAUGGGCUGACAGGUGAGCUACUGGCUGGAGUCCUUCCUCCCCUCCUUCCCCUCUGAGCAGGCUCUCUCUCAGGUGUGUGUGUGGGGGCGAUCCCGAAUGAGCACCUUCCCUAUCCCUCAGAGACUGCCUCCUGGCACUCUCUUUGGUCCACUGUCUUCCACCUAUCAUAGACAAGAGUGCGUGGAAAGAUCCCAAAGAGUCCGCCGCUCCUCGAAGCCUGCUUCUCCAGAGCUGUGAAUUCCUCCCACCCCGACUUCCGAGGGCGAGUGGAACAUUCUAUUUAAAGGGUGAAACAAAACAGGUGAGGGAGUGUACAGUGUAGGAAAGAGGAAUGGGAGACCAUAGGCAGAAGCAGGGAGAACACAGAUGAGCCCACUUGGCCGCCGCGGGCCCCCCCACUUCUGUCAUCUUCUUGGCAGUCCAGUGGUGGGCACUUUUCUCCCAAUGCACUGAGCCCAGAAUGGCACGACACCAGACCAUAGUGCUUGCUUCCCUAGGGAGUCCAGGUAAGAGAACCCCCCCCCCCCCCCCCCCGGCUUUUUAAAAAAGAGCUCAUUUUCUUUUGGGGGCUCCUCGGGUCCCAUUUCCACCUUUUUGAAGGCCCCCUGAAAGGGUAGGAAAAAUGAGUGCCAGGAGAUAAAGAGCCGGGCAGAAACGGGUGCUUUCCUCUGGUCCUCCGGAAAAAAUAGAGACCUUUUCAGGAAGCUGGGGGGAGGGACCUGCCUGUAAACGGAUCCCUGGGUGGAUUAAGUGUGUCGGGCGCUUGAACAGGUUUGCAUGUCGCUAGUGGCCGAUUAAUUAGGCACCUACGCGGUGCUCUCUGCUAAUGUCCACAUCAGCUGGCCAGAUGGCUGAUAAAGGGGUGGGGGGGAGUAGCUUCCGUGCACUCCCUGACGAUAGCUGGAGGACAACUCUCUGGGCAGUGGCUCACUUAAGCCCAGAAAACACUAAGAACAAAUCAUUCUCCUUUGGGGAGGGAUAGCAGAACGUUUUUGGAUUAGGUUUAAGAGGUGGGGGGAAGGGGGAGAGGCGCGCAGGUGACUCCCCUUGCCCUCUUUCCCCAGGGAUAGCGAUAGGGUUGGGACCUGUGGUUUGGCGGUAUAGGGAACUCCCAAAUGAGGAAACUCCUACCAGUGCAGGUCAGCAGCUUCUCUGCAGUUUUGAGUUGCUUAGAAGAUUGAGAGUUUAAAUGAUUGGCAGAGCAUUACUCAGCCAAUAAGGAUUCAGGUCUUGGCUUUGAGGCUGACUCUCUAGCCAAUGAGAGCCAAGCUGCCUCAGGGUUUUGCACCCCCCACCCCAAGCUAUAAUAAAAAUGUGGCAGAUUCUUCCCCCCA